UGGGGAUAUAGCUCAGUGGUAAAGCACUUGCCUAGUAUGCAGGACACCCUGGGUUCAGACCGCAGAACCUUAA
This 73-nucleotide transfer RNA is filed under the name Marmota monax (woodchuck). RNAcentral's name for it is "tRNA.Thr". The record is from RNAcentral. Lineage: Eukaryota; Metazoa; Chordata; Mammalia; Rodentia; Sciuridae.